UACGGAGGGGGCUAGCGUUAUUCGGAAUUAUUGGGCGUAAAGGGCGUGUAGGCGGCUUCGUGUGUCCCAUGUGAAAGCCCUUGGCUCAACCGGGGAACUGCAUGGGAAACUGCGGAGCUUGAGUCCGGGAGAGGUGAGUGGAAUUCCCAGUGUAGCGGUGAAAUGCGUAGAUAUUGGGAGGAACACCGGUGGCGAAGGCGGCUCACUGGACCGGUACUGACGCUGAGACGCGAAAGCCAGGGGAGCAAACGGG
This 253-nucleotide ribosomal RNA is filed under the name uncultured bacterium. Its description in RNAcentral is "partial 16S ribosomal RNA". It matches the Rfam family "Bacterial small subunit ribosomal RNA", at positions 524 to 776 of the family's 1533-position model. The record is from RNAcentral.